This 398-nucleotide ribosomal RNA is filed under the name uncultured Acidovorax sp. Its description in RNAcentral is "bacterial SSU rRNA". It matches the Rfam family "Bacterial small subunit ribosomal RNA", at positions 1 to 408 of the family's 1533-position model. Lineage: Bacteria; Pseudomonadati; Pseudomonadota; Betaproteobacteria; Burkholderiales; Comamonadaceae. The record is from RNAcentral.
CAUGGAGUUUGAUCCUGGCUCAGAUUGAACGCUGGCGGCAUGCCUUACACAUGCAAGUCGAACGGUAACAGGUCUUCGGAUGCUGACGAGUGGCGAACGGGUGAGUAAUACAUCGGAACGUGCCCGAGAGUGGGGAUAACGGAGCGAAAGCUUUGCUAAUACCGCAUACGAUCUACGGAUGAAAGCAGGGACCGCAAGGCCUUGCGCUCAUGGAGCGGCCGAUGGCAGAUUAGGUAGUUGGUGGGGUAAAGGCUCACCAAGCCAACGAUCUGUAGCUGGUCUGAGAGGACGACCAGCCACACUGGAACUGAGACACGGUCCAGACUCCGUACGGGAGGCAGCAGUGGGGGAAUUUGGACAAUGGACGCAAGUCUGAUCCAGCCAUUCCGCGUGCAGGA